UAGCCCCAUGGCCGGUGGUGCGCCAGCGCCCAGGCGGCGCCCAGCUCGGGGCGCGCAUUGAGCAGGAAGUUGGACUCCCCCCGGGACUGG
RNAcentral lists this transfer RNA (90 nucleotides) under Actinomyces capricornis. RNAcentral's name for it is "Actinomyces sp. MAS-1 tRNA-Pro". The record is from RNAcentral. Lineage: Bacteria; Bacillati; Actinomycetota; Actinomycetes; Actinomycetales; Actinomycetaceae.